This is an unclassified non-coding RNA of Microcebus murinus (gray mouse lemur), 289 nucleotides long. It matches the Rfam family "Metazoan signal recognition particle RNA". Rfam says of the family: The signal recognition particle (SRP) is a universally conserved ribonucleoprotein. It is involved in the co-translational targeting of proteins to membranes. NCBI's taxonomy places the organism in Eukaryota, Metazoa, Chordata, Mammalia, Primates, Cheirogaleidae. The record is from Ensembl.
GCCGGAUGCUGGGGCGCAUGCUUUGGGGUCCCAGCUACUUGGGAGGCUAUGGUGGGAGGAUUACUUGAGCCCAGGAGUUCUGGGCUGUAUGUAUGACUGGGUAUCCACACUAAGUUCAGCAUCAAUAUGGUGACCUCCCAGGAGUGGGGGACCACCAAGUUGCCUAAUGAGGGGUGAGCUGGCUCAGGUCAGAAACAGCAGGUCAAAACCCCUGUGCUGAUCAGUAGUGGGAUCGUGCCUGUGAAUAGCCACUGCACUCCAGCCUAGACAACAUAGCGAGACCCUGUUU